This 672-nucleotide ribosomal RNA is filed under the name Gobiosoma ginsburgi. RNAcentral describes it as "partial 12S ribosomal RNA". It matches the Rfam family "Bacterial small subunit ribosomal RNA", at positions 513 to 1502 of the family's 1533-position model. Lineage: Eukaryota; Metazoa; Chordata; Actinopteri; Gobiiformes; Gobiidae. The record is from RNAcentral.
CACCGCGGUUAUACGAGAGGCCCAAGUUGACAACUCACGGCGUAAAGAGUGGUUAAUAUACUACUAAACUAAAGUCGAACACCUUCCAGGCUGUUAUACGCACCUGAAGGCAGGAAGCUCUGCCACGAAAGUGACUUUAAUACAUAUGACCCCACGAAAGCUAGGAAACAAACUGGGAUUAGAUACCCCACUAUGCCUAGCCGUAAACAUAAGCAGCCUAUCACUCCGCUGUUCGCCAGGGGACUACAAGCCCCAGCUUAAAACCCAAAGGACUUGGCGGUGCUUUAGACCCCCCUAGAGGAGCCUGUUCUAGAAUCGAUAAUCCCCGUUCCACCUCACCCUCUCUUGUUCUUCCCGCCUAUAUACCGCCGUCGUCAGCUUACCUUGUGAAAGAUAAAUAGUAAGCAGAAUUGGCAAAGCCCAAAACGUCAGGUCAAGGUGUAGCGUACGAGAGGGGAAGCAAUGGGCUACAUUUACUGUUUCAGUAAACACGAAUCUUGCACUGAAAAGAGCAUAUGAAGGAGGAUUUAGCAGUAAGGGGGGAUCACGAGAGCCCCUCUGAAAACGGCCCUGAAGCGCGCACACACCGCCCGUCACUCUCCCCAACGGACCACUGCACAUAAAUAAUAUCUGCCCACCACAAAGGGGAGGCAAGUCGUAACAUGGUAGGCG